GAGGGUAUAGCUCAAUGGUAGAGCAUGUGCUCAGUAUGGUCCUGAGUUCAAUCCCCAGCACCUCCA
Molecule: transfer RNA, 66 nt
Filed under: Camelus bactrianus (Bactrian camel)
Lineage: Eukaryota; Metazoa; Chordata; Mammalia; Artiodactyla; Camelidae
Also listed under: 1 other name
Rfam family: tRNA
About the family: Transfer RNA (tRNA) molecules are approximately 80 nucleotides in length.
Source: Rfam by way of RNAcentral